AAAAUCCGUCGAUUUUUGAAAUCAUGAGGGUUCAAGUCCCUCUAUCCCCAACAAAAAGCCCAUUUGAUUU
This 70-nucleotide transfer RNA is filed under the name Rhynchospora cephalotes. RNAcentral's name for it is "partial tRNA-Leu". Lineage: Eukaryota; Viridiplantae; Streptophyta; Magnoliopsida; Poales; Cyperaceae. The record is from RNAcentral.